Eriocheir sinensis (Chinese mitten crab) is the source of this 1841-nucleotide long non-coding RNA. RefSeq lists it as uncharacterized. The transcript has 3 exons. The record is from RefSeq and is a predicted model, not a curated record. Lineage: Eukaryota; Metazoa; Arthropoda; Malacostraca; Decapoda; Varunidae.
GUGUGUGUGUGUGUGUGUGUGUGUGUGUGUGUGUGUGUGUACGCGUGAAUACCUUUAUAUGAGUUGUAGUAGUGUAUUGGUUGAUUAUUUAUACUUUAUUGCUCUUUAUAUGUGUUCUUUCUUGUUCUUUCGUAUAUUCUCCAUGUAGGUUCUUCAUGUUCUUCGUGUACAACUGAAAACUCAACCCACUAACCCGACCCCCGUCAACUCAUCCCGCUAACUUAACUAUUGACGCCAUUAAUAUAUUCGUUUAUUCUCUUGUUCAUUUGUCUAUGUCUCUCUGUUUGGCUAUAUAUAUCAAGUCUAUAUACAGAAAACCCAAGAUGAUUACGACACCCAACCCUUGUCUUCCACCGCCUCAUUUUCCCACAGCUUCCACAGCCCUCAUUCAUUGGUGGGAGGUAGAACAGGGGCAGGUAUAGAGGUGUGUUGCCCCAAGCCGUGGCCAAGAAACAGGUGUUCGGCCCCACCUUGGCGAGGCAGCAACAGUCUUAUCGGUUGCCCUCACGGCGGCUCGUAUCGGCCCUUAACUGGUAUAUUCCUGCCUGAACCAUGACCGCCAGACGUUGCCCUCACGAUACCUGUCACUAUCUGCUCGUUGAUUGACACCUGGGAGAGUGGGGAGGGGGGAAGCGAGAGAGAAAUAAAAACAAGAGGAGAGAGGAACUAAGAAAAAAAACGAGGAAUGGGAUGAAGGUGAAGGUUAAGAGAGGAAAAAUCGUUAAAACAGAAAUGAGGAAAAGGAAGGACGAAAUGAAGGAAAGUAGAAGUACAUAAGAACAUAAGAACAUAAAAACAUAGGGAGAUUGCAAGAGGCCGAGUGAUGAUCAGAAGGAGAAGGUAGAAAGUAAUAUAAAGGGAAGGACUUUAUAGAAGACUGUUGCUUUCUCUCUGUAUCCUGAUCUCUUUUUUCGAUAACGACUUGUGAGGAAUCUUAAAAUUCAUAAAAUCACGUUCAACUUUUUCGGACACGUUAGUGAAGUAUUUUAUGCCUUGGUUCUCCGUUCAUUAGGACUUAGAUGCAUAUUCUCAAACAUUUGGGGGGCUUACACACACACACACACACACACACACAUGCAAUACGGCUUUCGCAGAGGUUAUGUUAGUAUGGUUUUGUUUUUUUACAACAAAGUAGACAGCUCAAGGGCACAAAAAAAGGAAACAAUAAUAAAAAAUAAAAAAAGCCCGCUACUCGCUGCUCCAUGGGUAGUUUUAUGAACCUAGUGAUAGUUUGACAAGUUCCUACACCAUGAAUAUGAAGAAAAAAAAUCAUGGGAACCCGCUUAAUCUCCUUUAUGGUCUUUGGAUAUAUUCGUUGUGAGAGCCGAGAGCGUGUGUGAAAAGUGUGAAUACGGGUUGCUGCAUUGAUGACCUUGUAGCUGGUUAUGACUGCGUGGGUGUGUCUGAUCAGGUGUACAGGAAGCAAACACACCUCCAAGUCACCUCCAAUGUCAUCCUGUUUCGUCCUCUCCCUUCCGUGAUGUUGUGUUCUCUAUGGCCAGGUAUCUCACUUCCCUCUCUUCCGUGAUGUUGUGUUCUCUAUGGCCAGGUAUCUCACUUCCCUUGCCCUUCCGUGAUGUUGUGUUCUCUAUGGCCAGGUAUCUCACUUCCCUUGCCCUUCCGUGAUGUUGUGUUCUCUAUGGCCAGGUAUCUCACUUCCCUCCCCCUUCCGUGAUGUUGUGUUCUCUAUGGCCAGGUAUCUCACUUCCCUCCCCCUUCCGUGAUGUUGUGUUCUCUAUGGCCAGGUAUCUCACUUCCCUUGCCCUUCCGUGAUGUUGUGUUCUCUAUGGCCAGGUAUCUCACUUCCCUCCCCCUUCCGUGAUGUUGUGUUCUCUAUGGCC